UUGUGAUGAUGGUAUUUCUGUAUUUGUGUGGUGACGUAUCAUUAUUUAUGGAUUCUUCGAAUUCUCAGAAAACAGUAGUACAUGUGUAUUAUUUUAUUUUUAGAAAGCCAUUUUAGCAAAGAUGAGAGUAGAUAUCUGAAAAGGCUUAUAGUACUAUAUAUAUACAUAUCUAAAUUGGUAUAUUUUGGUAUUUCUGGGUGUUAAUCACUUACUAAAAGGAAAAAGAAAGUGAUAUAUGAUGCAUUACAUCUAGAAAUGAGCAUGAUGCAUCAAAUAGGAUUUCUUGACAGAUGAUAUAGGUGAACCAGACCUUUUAGAGAGAUGUUCACGACAAGUUGAAUUAGAAGGCAUGACGGUACAAAAGGAGCGAUCUUCCAUUUUGAAGGAUUGGAAAGAACUGCUAUGUAGGGAAAUGGGAGGUUAGGCUUCAGAAUUCUGCUGGCUAGAUCACUCCCAAGAAAAUUAACUUGAACCUCGAUCAGAAGAAAAUGGCACCUAGAUACAUUUAGUAUGGCGUUGGAGUUGAAAAGGUGAUGGGAUGCUACUUUGACAGACAAGGAGCACCCUUUUGUGUAGGGAAUUGGGAGGUUAUGUUUCAAAGAUUGCUGGCUACACUCCCCAAGACAAGAUGGCCCUCAGACAAGAAAAUAGCACCAGCAAUAUGUACAGCUAACACUGAGCCUUCAUUUAGAAUAGUUUUGGUUAAGCUGAUCGAGUGUUGCUAUGACUCCCAUUGUGUGUAAUUAAUAAAGUGUGUUAAAUGAAGAAUGCAGAAAAGAGAAUUAGGCGCCCUUACAUUGAUACUGAGAGUUUGGUUCAAUGGAUUGCUAAUGUUGGUCACCUUCUGCUGCGGGUGUAGUAUGGCAUUCUUUCAAUAUACUAAGUUCUGCUGGUAAUUUAUUAUAUGAUGUCAAUUUGUAAAAAAAUAUUGGUGAUGAGGUUUG
Fragaria vesca subsp. vesca is the source of this 944-nucleotide RNA transcript. RefSeq lists it as uncharacterized. The transcript has 6 exons. Lineage: Eukaryota; Viridiplantae; Streptophyta; Magnoliopsida; Rosales; Rosaceae. The record is from RefSeq and is a predicted model, not a curated record.